CCUACGGGAGACAGCAGUGAGGAAUAUUGGUCAAUGGGCGUAAGCCUGAACCAGCCAAGUCGCGUGAGGGAUGAAGGUUCUAUGGAUCGUAAACCUCUUUUAUAAGGGAAUAAAGUGCGGGACGUGUCCCGUUUUGUAUGUACCUUAUGAAUAAGGAUCGGCUAACUCCGUGCCAGCAGCCGCGGUAAUACGGAGGAUCCGAGCGUUAUCCGGAUUUAUUGGGUUUAAAGGGUGCGUAGGCGGCCUUUUAAGUCAGCGGUGAAAGGCUGUGGCUCAACCAUAGAAUUGCCGUGGAAACUGGGAGGCUUGAGUAUGUGAGAGGCAGGCGGAAUGCGUGGUGUAGCGGUGAAAUGCUUAGAGAUCACGCAGAACCCCGAUUGCGAAGGCAGCCUGCCAGGCCAUGACUGACGCUGAUGCACGAAAGCGUGGGGAUCAAACAGGAUUAGAUACCCGAGUAGUC
RNAcentral lists this ribosomal RNA (460 nucleotides) under uncultured bacterium. Its description in RNAcentral is "partial 16S ribosomal RNA". It matches the Rfam family "Bacterial small subunit ribosomal RNA", at positions 338 to 795 of the family's 1533-position model. The record is from RNAcentral.